UAACUCAGCUUGUAGAUUUCAUGGUCCUGAGUCUGACGACUCAGUGUUUUGUGUUUCCUCAUGUUGUUCUAUGUUCUUGUUUAUUCUGAUUAUGUCUUUCGGUAAGGUUUGCCAUUUGUUAGGUUUCUGUUCUGUGCCUGCCUGCUCCCACUUCUGUGUCCCCUCUGUCUGUCUAUGGUGUCACAGUGUCUGCUCGUGAAUCUGUCUGUUACGUUCAGUGUCUUGUCUGGUUCUGUGUCUGUGAGUUUCCUGUUUUAUUCUGAAGGUCUCUGUCUCAUGUGAGUGUUCUCAGCUUUACGUCUGUGUCUCGUCAGCCCUGAUUUCUCUCAGGUGUGUUCCCCUCCUGUCUCCCAUCCCAUGAUUACUCCUGUGAGUAUUUAAGCCCUGUGUGUUCUCCUGCUUGUUGCUGGUUUGUCUGUGUUGCUUCCCUGAGUCUCCCUGCGGCUCUGGUCUGGUUUCAGGCCGGCUUUCUUCUUGUUUCUUCACCAGGCUUCUUGAAGGACAGUCGAAAGAUCUUCUUUGAUUGAGGUUCAAGCUCUGGGGAGACUACCAGGACCUGGAUGAACCAACACAGACAUGGUGCAACAUCAGCUGCAUACAAAGAGUCUUCCAUUUGAUUUGUGAACAUCCAUUUUUGUUGUUGUUGCAGUAAAACUCAGUAAACGUGUUGUUUUGUUGCAAUACUGACACCAUUUACAAUGUUAUGACAGUGAAGAGCAGGACGCUGAGGUUGUAAUAAUCAUCUUGUUCCUCACAUAACCUGCUUUUUUUUUAGUCUGGUCCAACUGUUAAA
This is a long non-coding RNA of Oreochromis aureus, 793 nucleotides long. RefSeq lists it as uncharacterized. Lineage: Eukaryota; Metazoa; Chordata; Actinopteri; Cichliformes; Cichlidae. The transcript is spliced from 3 exons. The record is from RefSeq and is a predicted model, not a curated record.